GAUGAACGCUGGCGGCGUGCCUAAUACAUGCAAGUCGAGCGAACAGAUGAGGAGCUUGCUCCUCUGACGUUAGCGGCGGACGGGUGAGUAACACGUGGAUAACCUACCUAUAAGACUGGGAUAACUUCGGGAAACCGGAGCUAAUACCGGAUAAUAUAUUGAACCGCAUGGUUCAAUAGUGAAAGACGGUUUUGCUGUCACUUAUAGAUGGAUCCGCGCCGCAUUAGCUAGUUGGUAAGGUAACGGCUUACCAAGGCAACGAUGCGUAGCCGACCUGAGAGGGUGAUCGGCCACACUGGAACUGAGACACGGUCCAGACUCCUACGGGAGGCAGCAGUAGGGAAUCUUCCGCAAUGGGCGAAAGCCUGACGGAGCAACGCCGCGUGAGUGAUGAAGGUCUUCGGAUCGUAAAACUCUGUUAUUAGGGAAGAACAAAUGUGUAAGUAACUAUGCACGUCUUGACGGUACCUAAUCAGAAAGCCGCGGCUAACUACGU
Molecule: ribosomal RNA, 496 nt
Filed under: uncultured bacterium
Lineage: Bacteria
Description: partial 16S ribosomal RNA
Rfam family: Bacterial small subunit ribosomal RNA
Source: RNAcentral